This 382-nucleotide ribosomal RNA is filed under the name Escherichia coli. RNAcentral's name for it is "partial 23S ribosomal RNA". It matches the Rfam family "Bacterial large subunit ribosomal RNA", at positions 2549 to 2925 of the family's 2925-position model. Lineage: Bacteria; Pseudomonadati; Pseudomonadota; Gammaproteobacteria; Enterobacterales; Enterobacteriaceae. The record is from RNAcentral.
GGGGCUGAAGUAGGUCCCAAGGGUAUGGCUGUUCGCCAUUUAAAGUGGUACGCGAGCUGGGUUUAGAACGUCGUGAGACAGUUCGGUCCCUAUCUGCCGUGGGCGCUGGAGAAUUGAGGGGGGCUGCUCCUAGUACGAGAGGACCGGAGUGGACGCAUCACUGGUGUUCGGGUUGUCAUGCCAAUGGCACUGCCCGGUAGCUAAAUGCGGAAGAGAUAAGUGCUGAAAGCAUCUAAGCACGAAACUUGCCCCGAGAUGAGUUCUCCCUGACUCCUUGAGAGUCCUGAAGGAACGUUGAAGACGACGACGUUGAUAGGCCGGGUGUGUAAGCGCAGCGAUGCGUUGAGCUAACCGGUACUAAUGAACCGUGAGGCUUAACCUU